AGGACGAACGCUGGCGGCGUGCUUAACACAUGCAAGUCGAGCGGAAAGGCCACUUCGGUGGUACUCGAGCGGCGAACGGGUGAGUAACACGUGAGUAAUCUGCCCUCCACUUUGGGAUAGCCACCGGAAACGGUGAUUAAUACCGGAUAUGACGUUCCUUCGCAUGAAGGGGUGUGGUAAAGUUUUUCGGGUGGGGAUGUGCUCGCGGCCUAUCAGCUUGAUGGUGGGUAAUGGCCUACCAUGGCUUCGACGGUAGCCGGCCUGAGAGGGUGACCGGCCACGACUGGGACUGAGACACGGCCCAGACUCCGAGGGACGCGAGCAGGUGGGAAUAGUUAGGAAC
Molecule: ribosomal RNA, 343 nt
Filed under: uncultured soil bacterium
Lineage: Bacteria
Description: bacterial SSU rRNA
Rfam family: Bacterial small subunit ribosomal RNA
Source: RNAcentral